UGCUCUAUCAUUCCACCAGGUAAAAGGGAUACCACAUAAAGCAAAAUCUUCAUACUCAUGUGGAUAGACAUGAAGGCAACCAAUUUUCUCUUCUUCCACAUAACAACAUUGAAGUUUCCUCCAACCAUCCAAGGUAGUGAUUGAUUGUAUCCUAUAGAAUAAAUAUCAUCCCACAACCUAAAUCUCUCAACUGUUGUACAUUUAGCAUAGACUAGAGUGACCAAGAAUGGAUUCCCAUUAUUGAAUGACAGAUGUAGUGUUAAUUGUUGUUCUGAAUCUGAAACUACUCCCACAUGAAUCCCAUCCCGAGUAAAUAGCCAAAUUUGACCAUUGGAGUUGUAGUUGACAUACUACAUGCACAUCCUUCUUUUGCAUUUUUGAAUCUUCUUAGUGUCUUGAAAUGGUUCCAUCAAGGAAAUUAGGAAAAAAUUGUGGUGUCUAUGUAACAUUUGAACUUUAUGAAAUGCAUUUUGAGUUCUCACAAUCCUUAUAUUCAAAAAUAAAGCUUUUGAUUCAUUGAGAAACACUCUUCUCCCCCUCUUAGCCUGUAUCCUUGUUGUCUUUGAGUCACUAGCCAUUUUACCUUUCUUUUUGUUCCCUCUGGUCAUUAUCUGAGAUAGCCAACUUCCUUACAAAUAUUGUUCUCCAGUUGCUCACUUUCUUCUUAUUCAACAUCUUCAAUACUUGCCUCAUUAAAAUAUUCCCUGGUUAUGCUCCCUUGAAUGGAUGUCUUACCAUUUUCUUGUAAAAUUUGGUGUGAAAUAAUUGCAUGUAAAGCUUCAUUAGGUGCAAAUCUUCUAUUGCCCAUUGUGAUAGCCUGAACCUUAGCUAGAGCACUUGUUUUUUGCAGGUUGCUCUCCUUCUCAUUUGACUUCACCCAUACCUAUUUGAAGUAUAUUUGUAGGAGGAGAUCUCCUUCCACUGGAACCACUUUUUGGAGGGGCUCUUGAUAGGUAGCGUAUCUCAAAUCUGGUUCAUGUUGUUGGUAUGCCACAAUCUCUUUUCUAUGUGUUCUCAUCGUCUGUAUGCACCUCUUCUUUUUUCUUUACACUUUCACUAGAUUGAUUAUUUCUUACUUAUGUUGCAGAUGUGUCUCCUUGCCUGUUGACAGUAGCCUCAUCUUCUAUUGUGUUCUCUUCAGUAAUUGAUGUAUUCUCACUUUGUUUGUUCCUUUUAUUACCAAUGUCCCCAUCUUUUUUACUAUCCCCUUGUUGCAUCGAUGUAGUAUUACUUGUUCAACAUUCAUUUCCUGCUGAUUAGUAAAAGCUCUCGAUCAAGUCU
This 1281-nucleotide long non-coding RNA is filed under the name Solanum tuberosum (potato). RNAcentral describes it as "long non-coding RNA (STUB_LNC004610)". The record is from RNAcentral. Lineage: Eukaryota; Viridiplantae; Streptophyta; Magnoliopsida; Solanales; Solanaceae.